RNAcentral lists this long non-coding RNA (2943 nucleotides) under Eucalyptus grandis. RNAcentral's name for it is "long non-coding RNA (EGRA_LNC001273)". Lineage: Eukaryota; Viridiplantae; Streptophyta; Magnoliopsida; Myrtales; Myrtaceae. The record is from RNAcentral.
GAGUCUCACCCCCUUCGCGAAGCUGCUGCUCCUUCUCCGCUGCUGCUCUCCUUCUCCGCCUAAGCCCCAUCCUUCGCGAAGCUGGGCGCCACCACCGCUGCUUCUCCGCCUGAGCCCCAACCCUUCACGAAGCUGCUGCUGCUUCUCUGCCUGAGCCCCGUCCCUUCGCGAAGCUGCUGCUGCUUCUCCGCUUGAGCCUCGUCCUUCGCGAAACUGGGCGCCACCGCCAGAAGUCGAGCCCCUGCUUCUGCCCGUCCUCAGUCCGUCCGUCCGAGCCCCCUGCUCACCCACGAGAUCUGCAGCCGAGCCCUUGCUUCUGCCCUGCAGCAACUCCAGCGUCGCCCGCGCCACCGCCAGAAGCCGAGCCCCUGCUUCUGCCCUGUAGCAACUCCAGCCCCUUUAGGUAAAGAGAAUGCCCUAACUUGCUACCAUUCCUAUAAAUAUGUAAGAAUUGUGCUUCUUUCAUUCAUAAAGACUAAUGUCCUCCAUUUUGUCCGAGCUAUUCCACCCCAACGAUUACGCCCUUUUCAAAUUGGAUCGACUUGGAGCCCAGUCCGUCAUCAAGUGCAUAUCUAACAAGCAAAGUCCUCCUUCGGUACCAUAUAUAAACAAUGCAUCUUGCUCCAUUAAGCCGAAUCUUCCAAAAAAAAGGUAUUCACGAUUGUACCCGUUUAAAAAUGAGUCACGCGUAUGUUAUUCCACAAUGUCUCUUUCAGUGACUUGGGGUGUCACAUAUCCUCUAUCUUUUUCCUCUUUUCUCCUCCGUGGGGAAACUGUGUAAGUCAAACUCUCCUAGAGAAGUGUGAUAAGGGCCUGCCUUACGUCCAAAGACUCUGAAUAUAUAUCCCCCAAUGCCUCUUGUCGAUUUGUUCCUUUCAAUUUUGGGCGUUUGAACUUUCAAAUAAUUAGUGCUCAACUCUGCAAGUGUCUUUUUCUGUAUCUAAAGCCACGAGCUGGUUUUGCUUCUUUGAAUGCGUGCAAAAAAAGACCUUCAGUUGCAAAAGCCUCAAUACUUUCAAAGGUGGCAUUACUUUCUAAGACAAGGGACUAGUCAAAGAAUAUUGCCUCCUCCUUUUCAAUCACUUUAUAAGAUCAGAUCAGAUGUGAGUGAGCACUAACACAUUACAUGCUGUCCCAUUCAUUUCUUUACCCCUUUUUUUAUAUCGCUCCUGAGGUUUGUCUUCAACCAAGGUGCAAAAUUUGGCUGAUGAAGAUAGGCACAAUUUUAUUCAGCUUUUACAAAAACCGGCUGGCGUGACCAGUCUUUCUCAAUCCGAGUUGUGGUGUGCUCUACGUCCUCGUGUGUGCAGAGAUAUUCUGUGUGAUUUAAUGUUGGGUUGGAUGUUUGUAGGCGGUUUUGUUUUCUAUGGUUGGGAUCUUUGACAGUUAUCAUGGUGGUAUUUGCUGCGAUUAAUGCUGGUCAGUUAAAGUUUCGACUGUUGGACUCGAGUCUGAACCCAACUUUUCUUCUUUGUCUUUUAGCUCAAGUGUCAUGCAUGAGUUGAAGAAGUGGCGGGGUUGAGUUUGGAAAAAAUAUAAGGUUCAAGGACAUCACAGUUUGAAGAGGAAAAGCAGAGCAAAAAGGUACUCUUGUUCCUUCAAUUCUAGUUUCUGCUGUUUGAUGCGUUCAUGUUUUUUUUUUUUUUGGGUGAACUUCUCUUUUCUGAUUUUCAUAGUCUGCUCUCUCAAGUGGUACCAACAGAUAAGGCUCAGUCGAGAGGCUUUCUUUUAUUUGCCUCAAAGAUAAGCCGAUUCUGUGAAAUUUGGGGCCAAAAUUUCUACUGCUGGUUAUGUUAAUGUGACAGCUCUAAAAUGGUGAUUUUCUUUGUAUCUAUGGCUUCAAAUUGGUUAGUCCCAAGGGGGGAGUUAGAAGAAAAAACCAAAGCCUUCCCAGUUGUGCUUGUACUAAGCAUUACCACAAUCGCUAAUUGCCUAUGCUGAUAUCGGCACAGAACACAUCUUUUUGGCUGUCCAGCAACAAAUGCCAAGCACCAUCUACUCAGCUCUUUUCAUCUUCCUUCAUCUAUUCCAUAACUCUGUUGGAGAGCUCUCUGAUGUCGAAAACUUGACAUUGAAAUUUACGUUUCAGCAUUUGUUAGUUGGCCAGUUACCGGAUUUGGUAAGGCAGAACAAAAUGGGACAGCUCAGGGGCUCUGUUGAAACCGUGGGAAAAAAGAACUCACAACAUGAUCAAUAUGAGUGUUAAACGCUUUAUUUUAAAUAUGAGUGCUGUACAUUAAUUUUUGCAAAACAGGUUCCACUAUAAACAGGGUUGACCCUGUUCCCGGACUGGAAAAACAGGGUGGGUCGGGAACAGGGUCCAAUGUAAACAGGGUCGGGAACAGGGUCCAAAAAAAGAGAACCGGUUAUAACAGGGUCGGGAACAGGGUCCAGGUCUAGACCCUACCCACCCUGGACCCGAUCACCCCUAUGAGCCGCGUCUAAGGACCAACAAACGCCCGGAAUCAAGCUGAAAUCAGAGGAGGCAUAAGCGAAAUCUGGUUCGAGCAUUUCUUCAAACACAUGGCGAGCAGCGAGUUGGGGAGCAAAUAUUGACCUGUUUGGAGCUCGAGCGCACGCCCAAACUCAAAAGUAAUCAACGAGCAACGUUCGGAAUCAACAAAAUAACAACUCAUUCAGGUCCAGCACGAGCAAGAACUAAAGAAAUUGAGUCGACUCUCACCUCACUCAAGACGGACAGAACAAUCUUAUAACUCACAUUUGCAUGAAAAAAUCAUAGAUAGCUUAUCCAGGAUGAACAAUCUUACUUGAUGGCACAUGAGACUUGAUGUAUUUAGAAGGCAUUCUGAUCACUGUUAGUGUUGUCAAUAGAAUGAUUUCUCUGAAACAUCACGUUAGACUCUUGGAUCCGCUUCACCAUUCCUGUUGUCAUUGAAUAUGAUUAAAUUUGACUUAAUUAUUUUAUGUAAAAGGAAAGGAGAC